AGAUUGAACGCUGGCGGCAGGCCUAACACAUGCAAGUCGAGCGGCAGCACGGGUACUUGUACCUGGUGGCGAGCGGCGGACGGGUGAGUAAUGCCUAGGAAUCUGCCUGAUAGGUGGGGGAUAACGGUUCGGAAACGGACGCUAAUACCGACAUACGUCCUACGGGAGAAAGGUGGGGGAUCUUCGGACCUCACGCUAUCAGAUGAGCCUAGGUCGAUUAGCUAGUUGGUAGGGUAAACGGCCUACCAAGGCUACGAUCCGUAACUGGUCUGAGAGGAUGAUCAGUCACACGUAGGAACUGAGACACGGUCCAGUACCU
RNAcentral lists this ribosomal RNA (319 nucleotides) under uncultured soil bacterium. RNAcentral describes it as "bacterial SSU rRNA". It matches the Rfam family "Bacterial small subunit ribosomal RNA", at positions 26 to 339 of the family's 1533-position model. The record is from RNAcentral.